GAUGAACGCUGGCGGCGUGCCUAAUACAUGCAAGUCGAGCGGAAGGACGAGAAGCUUGCUUCUUUGAUGUUAGCGGCGGACGGGUGUGUAACGCGUGGAUCAUCCACUUAUAUGUCUGGGAUCAUUUCGGGAAUCCGGCGCUAAUACCGGAUAAUAUUAUGAACCGUAUGGUUCAAUAGAGAAAGACGGCUUUGGUGUCUCGUAUAGCUGGUUACGAGCUGGAUUAGCUAGUUGGUAAGGUAACGGCCUUUCACGGCGACGAUGCGUAGCCGACCUGAGAGGGUGAUCGGCCACACGGGAACGGAGACACGGUCCAGACUCCUACGGGAGGCAGCAGUAGGGAAUCGGCCGCAAUGGGCGAAAGCCUGACAGAGCAACGCCGCGUGAGUGAUGAAGGUCUUCGGAUCGUAAAGCCCUGUUAUGAGGGAAGAACAGAUGUGUAAUGAACUGAGGACAUCUUGACGGUACCUAAUCAAAAAGCCACGGCUAACUACGUG
RNAcentral lists this ribosomal RNA (497 nucleotides) under uncultured bacterium. Its description in RNAcentral is "partial 16S ribosomal RNA". It matches the Rfam family "Bacterial small subunit ribosomal RNA", at positions 28 to 507 of the family's 1533-position model. The record is from RNAcentral.